UGUCAAGGUGCGCUGUAGACCAUAACAAAAGGAAAAAAUAAUUUUUAAAUAUUUAACACACUAUGUAUUCAUGUUUUAAAAUGACAACAGGAAGGUGAACAUUACAGCGGAUAACAACUUUUUCCUGAGAACUGAUAAUCAGUAGUGUCCUAUCGGAGAACGUGUGAAACAUUGAAGAGUCAAAUUUACCUGUGUUUGCAGUAUAGGCAAUAGUUUGGUGACAGAUUGCUUACUUUAUAGGUUAAACACAUCAUUUUUCAACGUCAUCAUAGUCUAAAUUUGAAUAGAGAUUAAGAAGUAAAUAAAGGUGCUGAUGUAAUGUUACUACAUAGAAAUGGAAGGUUAAUGAUUGGG
This is a long non-coding RNA of Mytilus californianus (California mussel), 354 nucleotides long. RefSeq lists it as uncharacterized. NCBI's taxonomy places the organism in Eukaryota, Metazoa, Mollusca, Bivalvia, Mytilida, Mytilidae. The transcript is spliced from 3 exons. The record is from RefSeq and is a predicted model, not a curated record.